GAUGAACGCUGGCGGCGUGCCUAAUACAUGCAAGUCGAGCGAACAGACGAGGAGCUUGCUCCUCUGACGUUAGCGGCGGACGGGUGAGUAACACGUGGAUAACCUACCUAUAAGACUGGGAUAACUUCGGGAAACCGGAGCUAAUACCGGAUAAUAUAUUGAACCGCAUGGUUCAUUAGUGAAAGACGGUUUUGCUGUCACUUAUAGAUGGUUCCGAGCCGCAUUAGCUAGUUGGUAAGGAAACGGCUUACCAAGGCAACGAUGCGUAGCCGACCUGAGAGGCUGAUCGGCCACACUGGAACUGAGACACGGUCCAGACUCCUACGAGAGGCAGCAGUAGGGAAUCUUCCGCAAUGGGCGAAAGCCUGACGGAGCAACGCCGCGUGAGUGAUGAAGGUCUUCGGAUCGUAAAACUCUGUUAUUGGGGAAGAACAGAUGUGGAAGUAACUAUGCACGUCUUGACGGUACCUAAUCAGAAAGCCACGGCUAACUACGUG
RNAcentral lists this ribosomal RNA (497 nucleotides) under uncultured bacterium. Its description in RNAcentral is "partial 16S ribosomal RNA". It matches the Rfam family "Bacterial small subunit ribosomal RNA", at positions 28 to 507 of the family's 1533-position model. The record is from RNAcentral.